This 28-nucleotide non-coding RNA is filed under the name Cricetulus griseus (Chinese hamster). The record is from RNAcentral. Lineage: Eukaryota; Metazoa; Chordata; Mammalia; Rodentia; Cricetidae.
GAAGGUAGAAGUUUUGUCUGAGAGAGGU